AGAUUACAUCUCAAAAAUUCCUUUUAGAGCAGUGGUUGUCAACCUUUCUAAUGCUGUGACCCUUUAAUACAGCUUUUCAUGUGAUGGUGGCCCCCAACCAUAAAACUAUUUGGUUGCUACUUCAUAACUGUAAUUUUGCUACUGCUAUGAAU
Molecule: non-coding RNA, 152 nt
Organism: Peromyscus maniculatus bairdii (prairie deer mouse)
Lineage: Eukaryota; Metazoa; Chordata; Mammalia; Rodentia; Cricetidae
Source: RefSeq, a predicted model, not a curated record